This 473-nucleotide ribosomal RNA is filed under the name uncultured bacterium. RNAcentral's name for it is "SSU rRNA". It matches the Rfam family "Bacterial small subunit ribosomal RNA", at positions 26 to 518 of the family's 1533-position model. The record is from RNAcentral.
AGAUUGAACGCUGGCGGCAUGCCUUACACAUGCAAGUCGAACGGCAGCACGGGAGCAAUCCUGGUGGCGAGUGGCGAACGGGUGAGUAAUACAUCGGAACGUGCCCAGUAGUGGGGGAUAACCCGGCGAAAGCCGGACUAAUACCGCAUACGACCUACGGGUGAAAGCGGGGGAUCGCAAGACCUCGCGCUAUUGGAGCGGCCGAUGGCAGAUUAGCUUGUUGGUGGGGUAAAAGCCCACCAAGGCGACGAUCUGUAGCUGGUCUGAGAGGACGACCAGCCACACUGGGACUGAGACACGGCCCAGACUCCUACGGGAGGCAGCAGUGGGGAAUUUUGGACAAUGGGCGAAAGCCUGAUCCAGCAAUGCCGCGUGGGUGAAGAAGGUCUUCGGAUUGUAAACGCCCUUUCGGACGGGGACGAUGAUGACGGUACCCGUAGAAGACGCCCCGGCUACUUCGUGCCAGCAGCCGC